Molecule: long non-coding RNA, 1905 nt
Filed under: Ananas comosus (pineapple)
Lineage: Eukaryota; Viridiplantae; Streptophyta; Magnoliopsida; Poales; Bromeliaceae
Description: long non-coding RNA (ACOM_LNC036557)
Source: RNAcentral
UAAAAGUUUGAUUUAGUAGAAAACGAGGCUAAAAAUAUAUCUAAACAUUCACACUCACGUGCAUAACAGAUAUGAAAGGUACGUAAAAUUAGUAGGUUAGCUAAAACUAAAAUUUUAACAUAUUAUAUAAUGUGAGAAUUUAACUUGUGAAAUAUUAAUUUAUAGAACGAGGAGUUUAAAAUUAACUUUGAUACCAUAUAAUCUAAAAAUUUAUCUCUUGUUUGGCUCAAUUUACUAAAUGAGCGAUUCGAUCUCGAGCUUAUUUCAUGCUGAACACGAGUUGGCUCGUGAAAAGAGAUGGAGUGGAGGCCUAUAAAAAUAAAUAUAUUUUUUGCUUUUUUUAAUAGGAUAGGUUGUAAAAAUUAUAUAUUAACUAGUUAAGUGAUCCGCGCGAUGCUCCAGGUAGUUAUUUUAAAAUUUAAUUUUGAAAAUUAGUUAUAAAAUUAAUUUCAGAAUUUAAAUGGUGCAAUAAAUACGUCAAAAAAUUUUUCCAUUAGUUAGUGAAAUAAUUUUACCCCAGUAGUUAGUGAAUGAGAUAAGAAAUCAUUGUUUGUGAUUCUCGCAAUUAAUUUUCGUCAAAUACAAAAUUAACUUAAGCUGUGCUAAUUUUCUUUAUUUUUUAAUAUACAAUUUAUAUGUGAAUGCUUAAUAUUAUAAAAUUAAUAUUUAUAUCUAAAACCAGUAGUCUAAAUUAUUUAACAUUUAUUUAUAUAUUUUAUAUUUUAUAAAAAUAAAUAGUAAAUUAUAUAAUAAAUUAUUAUAUAAUAAUAUAUCUAUAUACAAAUAAAAUACUAUAUAUAUUAAAUAAAUAUAUAUAUAAUAAAUAAAUAUAUAUUUAUAAAUAAAAUUAUAUAUAUAAUAAAUACUAUAUAUAAUAAAUAAAUAAAUAUUUAUAAAUAAAAUUUUAUUUUAUAUAUAUAUAUAUAUAUAUAUAUAGAAUUAGACUACUAUACUACCUAUAGUAUCGGAGCUCCUGUACUAUAAUGUUGUUUUCGAUCUUAGGGCGUUCAAAUCAACGAUCCACACCGUUAAAUAUGAUCUAGGAUAUAUGAAGUUCUUAGGAAUAAAAUUUUAGUUUUUUUCGAUAUCAUUUACUUAGUAAAUAAAUUAUGUCAAAAUGAACGGUGGAAAUUGAAUACUCAUUAAAAUUUGAGUAUAGGACUUUUAAAUUCAAGAUCAAGAAUGUUAACCUUAAUUUAUAUAGUUUAAAGUAUUUUCUAUCAAAAUUUGAAGAAAUUUAGAUUCUUCUACACCGUUAAACUCGAAACUCGUCAUAAUAGCUAUUGAAAAUUAACAAUUUUGAAAUUGUUUGAUCAUAAAGUAAACUAUGUCGAAAAAAUAUAAAAUUUUAUUUCUAAAAAUUUUAAAUACCCUAGAUCAGUUUUAACGGUGUGGAUCGUUGAUUUGAUCGCCCGAAAAUUGAAAACGGAACUAUAGUACCGGAGCUCCGGUACUAUAGAUAGUAUAGUAACCUAGCUAUAUAUAUAUAUAGAGUGAGGCUACUAUGCUAUUGCAAGCAUGAAGCCUUCCGUGCUUCCAGCUCGUUUUCGAUGUUGCGACUUUCGAAUCAUCGAUCGACUCCGUUAAACUUGAUCUAGAGUAUUUGGAGUAUCUAGAAAAUAAAUUUUAUUAUUUUUCGAUAUCAUUUGCUUAGUGAUCGAAUGGGUUUAAAAUCAACAAAUUUCAAUGGCCGUAGUGAGCCGUUUGCAAGUUUAACGGUAUAGAAAUAUCCAAAUUACGUGAAAUUUUGAUAGAAAAUUUUUUAUACUAUAUAAAACAAGAUCAAUAUCUUUGAUUUAAAAUUUUAAUGUCAUAUUAUUAUAUUUUGUAAGAUUUUUAUUUUCAGCCGUUGAUUUUGAGCCCCUUCACUCACUAGGCAAAUGAUAUCGUAAAAUCAUAAAAUUU